UACGAAGGGAGCUAGCGAUGUUCGGAAUCACUGGGCGUAAAGCGCACGUAGGCGGAUGUGUCAGUCAGGGGUGAAAUCCCGGGGCUCAAACUCGGAACUGCCUCUGAUACAGCACGUCUCGAGUCCGGAAGAGGUGGGUGGAAUUCCUAGUGUAGAGGUGAAAUUCGUAGAUAUUAGGAAGAACACCGGUGGCGAAGGCGGCCCACUGGUCCGGUUCUGACGCUGAGGUGCGAAAGCGUGGGGAGCAAACAGG
RNAcentral lists this ribosomal RNA (253 nucleotides) under uncultured bacterium. RNAcentral's name for it is "partial 16S ribosomal RNA". It matches the Rfam family "Bacterial small subunit ribosomal RNA", at positions 524 to 776 of the family's 1533-position model. The record is from RNAcentral.